GUUUUAAUAAUUUAAUAAAAAUAUUGAUUUUGUAAAUCAAAAAUAAACUAUGUUUUUAAAACA
RNAcentral lists this transfer RNA (63 nucleotides) under Passalidae sp. GENSP02. RNAcentral describes it as "tRNA-Thr". The record is from RNAcentral. Lineage: Eukaryota; Metazoa; Arthropoda; Insecta; Coleoptera; Passalidae.